Molecule: ribosomal RNA, 155 nt
Filed under: Blumeria hordei DH14
Lineage: Eukaryota; Fungi; Ascomycota; Leotiomycetes; Helotiales; Erysiphaceae
Description: Blumeria graminis f. sp. hordei DH14 5.8S ribosomal RNA
Rfam family: 5.8S ribosomal RNA
About the family: 5.8S ribosomal RNA (5.8S rRNA) is a component of the large subunit of the eukaryotic ribosome. It is transcribed by RNA polymerase I as part of the 45S precursor that also contains 18S and 28S rRNA.
Source: Rfam by way of RNAcentral
AACUUUCAACAACGGAUCUCUUGGCUCUGGCAUCGAUGAAGAACGCAGCGAAAUGCGAUAAGUAAUGUGAAUUGCAGAAUUUAGUGAAUCAUCGAAUCUUUGUAACGCACAUUGCGCCCCUGGGAAUUCCCAGGGGCAUGCCUGUUCGAGCGUCC